This 1483-nucleotide ribosomal RNA is filed under the name uncultured bacterium. RNAcentral's name for it is "bacterial SSU rRNA". It matches the Rfam family "Bacterial small subunit ribosomal RNA". The record is from RNAcentral.
AGAGUUUGAUCCUGGCUCAGGACGAACGCUGGCGGCGUGCUUAACACAUGCAAGUCGAACGGAAAGGCCCUGCUUUUGUGGGGUGCUCGAGUGGCGAACGGGUGAGUAACACGUGAGUAACCUGCCCUUGACUUUGGGAUAACUUCAGGAAACUGGGGCUAAUACCGGAUAGGAGCUCCUGCUGCAUGGUGGGGGUUGGAAAGUUUCGGCGGUUGGGGAUGGACUCGCGGCUUAUCAGCUUGUUGGUGGGGUAGUGGCUUACCAAGGCUUUGACGGGUAGCCGGCCUGAGAGGGUGACCGGCCACAUUGGGACUGAGAUACGGCCCAGACUCCUACGGGAGGCAGCAGUGGGGAAUAUUGCACAAUGGGCGGAAGCCUGAUGCAGCAACGCCGCGUGCGGGAUGACGGCCUUCGGGUUGUAAACCGCUUUCGCCUGUGACGAAGCGUGAGUGACGGUAAUGGGUAAAGAAGCACCGGCUAACUACGUGCCAGCAGCCGCGGUGAUACGUAGGGUGCGAGCGUUGUCCGGAUUUAUUGGGCGUAAAGGGCUCGUAGGUGGUUGAUCGCGUCGGAAGUGUAAUCUUGGGGCUUAACCCUGAGCGUGCUUUCGAUACGGGUUGACUUGAGGAAGGUAGGGGAGAAUGGAAUUCCUGGUGGAGCGGUGGAAUGCGCAGAUAUCAGGAGGAACACCAGUGGCGAAGGCGGUUCUCUGGGCCUUUCCUGACGCUGAGGAGCGAAAGCGUGGGGAGCGAACAGGCUUAGAUACCCUGGUAGUCCACGCUGUAAACGGUGGGUACUAGGUGUGGGGUCCAUUCCACGGGUUCCGUGCCGUAGCUAACGCUUUAAGUACCCCGCCUGGGGAGUACGGCCGCAAGGCUAAAACUCAAAGGAAUUGACGGGGCCCCGCACAAGCGGCGGAGCAUGCGGAUUAAUUCGAUGCAACGCGUGGAACCUUACCUGGGUUUGACAUGGAUCGGGAGUGCUCAGAGAUGGGUGUGCCUCUUUUGGGGUCGGUUCACAGGUGGUGCAUGGCUGUCGUCAGCUCGUGUCGUGAGAUGUUGGGUUAAGUCCCGCAACGAGCRCAACCCUUGUUCACUGUUGCCAGCACGUUAUGGUGGGGACUCAGUGGAGACCGCCGGGGCCAACUCGGAGGAAGGUGGGGAUGACGUCAAGUCAUCAUGCCCCUUAUGUCCAGGGCUUCACGCAUGCUACAAUGGCUGGUACAGAGAGUGGCGAGCCUGUGAGGGUGAGCGAAUCUCGGAAAGCCGGUCUCAGUUCGGAUUGGGGUCUGCAACUCGACCUCAUGAAGUCGGAGUCGCUAGUAAUCGCAGAUCAGCAACGCUGCGGUGAAUACGUUCCCGGGGCUUGUACACACCGCCCGUCAAGUCAUGAAAGUUGGUAACACCCGAAGCCGGUGGCCUAACCGUUGUGGGGGAGCCGUCGAAGGUGGGACUGGUGAUUAGGACUAAGUCGUAACAAGGUA